CUACAAGCCCGAUCCAUCGCGGCGUUCGCGUCGAGGAAAGUCCGGACAGCACAGAGCAGUUUACCGGCGAACAACCGGGUUUCAAAAAUCAUUUUUUGAAAACAGACAGCGCCACAGAAAAUAACCGCUGAAUUUUUUCAGUAAGGAUGAAAACGUGCGGUAAGAGCGCACGGCAAAGUGCAGCAAUGCACUUUGCGGGCAAGCCUUAAACGCUGCAAUGCCACGUAUAGUUGUGUUUGAGAACGGCUCGUUCAAAACUUCGGUUACACAACAGGGUAGGCAGCUACACCGCAACAGUAAUGUUGCGGGCAGAUAAAUGAUGGUUUAGAAACAGAAUCCGGCUUAUGAGGCUUGUAGCAUU
This 361-nucleotide RNase P RNA is filed under the name Arachidicoccus ginsenosidimutans. RNAcentral's name for it is "Arachidicoccus sp. BS20 Bacterial RNase P class A". It matches the Rfam family "Bacterial RNase P class A". Rfam says of the family: Ribonuclease P (RNase P) is a ubiquitous endoribonuclease, found in archaea, bacteria and eukarya as well as chloroplasts and mitochondria. Its best characterised activity is the generation of mature 5'-ends of tRNAs by cleaving the 5'-leader elements of precursor-tRNAs. Lineage: Bacteria; Pseudomonadati; Bacteroidota; Chitinophagia; Chitinophagales; Chitinophagaceae. The record is from Rfam by way of RNAcentral.